GAUGAACGCUGGCGGCGUGCCUAAUACAUGCAAGUCGAGCGAACGGACGAGAAGCUUGCUUCUCUGAUGUUAGCGGCGGACGGGUGAGUAACACGUGGAUAACCUACCUAUAAGACUGGGAUAACUUCGGGGAACCGUAGCUAAUACCGGAUAAUAUUUUGAACCGCAUGGUUCAAAAGUGAAAGACGGUCUUGCUGUCACUUAUAGAUGGAUCCGCGCUGCAUUAGCUAGUUGGUAAGGUAACGGCUUACCAAGGCAACGAUGCAUAGCCGACCUGAGAGGGUGAUCGGUCACACUGGAACUGAGACACGGUCCAAACUCCUACGGGAGGCAGCAGUAGGGAAUCUUCCGCAAUGGGCGAAAGCCUGACGGAGCAACGCCGCGUGAGUGAUGAAGGUCUUCGGAUCGUAAAACUCUGUUAUUAGGGAAGAACAUAUGUGUAAGUAACUGUGCACAUCUUGACGGUACCUAAUCAGAAAGCCACGGCUAACUACGUG
Molecule: ribosomal RNA, 497 nt
Filed under: uncultured bacterium
Lineage: Bacteria
Description: partial 16S ribosomal RNA
Rfam family: Bacterial small subunit ribosomal RNA
Source: RNAcentral